This is a long non-coding RNA of Balaenoptera acutorostrata (minke whale), 1286 nucleotides long. RefSeq lists it as uncharacterized. The record is from RefSeq and is a predicted model, not a curated record. The transcript has 3 exons. NCBI's taxonomy places the organism in Eukaryota, Metazoa, Chordata, Mammalia, Artiodactyla, Balaenopteridae.
UGCUGACGGUCUCACUGAAGUGCAGAGACCCAAAGCCAUACACGGAGCGUGAGGAAUCCAGCCCGGGCAGCAGAUUCAUUAGGCCAGUCUGGGAAGGCUGCUUCAGCCUUGGGGGCCGUGACUACACCGCAUAUUUGUUUGAAUUCCCUCACGUAACCCAGCAGAGAGCUUUACCCAAGUGGACAGACUGGCUCAGCGGAGCAGGGGGUGCAGCCUGGAGCCUGACUGCCUGGGUUCGGAUCCCUGCUCUGUCCUUCAGCCCUGGGACGUGCGGCCGAGUCAACCACCCUCUCUGGGCCUCGGUGUACUUGUCUGUCCAGUGGAGGCAGCGAGAGCCCCUGCUUCUGAGGCUGUUGCGUUCAGAACAGCGUUUGGCUGACUUGCUCCCACUGUGCAGCGCCCGGCAGGCACUGGGAGAGGAGAGCGGAAUCCAGGGGCAUCAGACUGGCGGCUGCCCCGGGGCAUAGACAUGGGCCCCUUGUCUCGGGCACUUAUCUUUUACCCUGGUGUCUGUCAACUGUUUUACACGUUGGGGACUUUUGGAAUUACUCAAAUCACGUGACCAAGACGCCCAGAAGAAACCAGCACGAGGACUGAGACUCUGCGGCAAGGCCGUGAGCAGGGACCAGCCGCGGCCUUUCUACGGCCCGCGCUCGGGCUCGAAUGUACAGCUCAGCGGUGCCGGGCUCUGGGUUAUGCCGCCCGGCUCCCCUUGUGUCCAGAGGUGUGUCAGGAGCGGGGCAGACCCCGGGGCCCCAGCCCAGAAUGCCGCUCAGGCGGCUGAGAGCAUCGGCCAGCAGCGCUCCAGUUCCGGAGGCACCGGCUCAGUCCUGUGGAUUCGGAGAGUCUGGGUACUGGGGGAAGGGCUAACUGGAUUCUGGAAGCCUCUCUCCCCGGGGAGGCGGGGCCAGAUUCAGCCAAGGCCCCACCAUCUGUGCGAGGAGAUGGCGUGCCUUCCCCGAGCUGCCCCCCUGCUCUGUGCAGCAGACGCUUGGCUCUGGCGGCGGAUGUGGAAACUGAGGCAGGGCUGAGGGAGGCUGUGGGCAACCCGGCAUCUACCCCAGGACCCCCUCAGGCUGUGCGCUCUGGCGAGCUCAGCGCUGCAUCUGAAGAAAGUCCUCCGACAACUCGGUUCCCCUGCAAAGGCAGGACCAGCUGAAGAAGGGUCUGGAACUGGAGGGGCCCUGGGACAGCCAGGGAGGAGCAUGUUAAAUAUAUCAUCCCAUUGCCUUCUGUCCUCUGAGUUUUCCAAUAAGAAAUUUGGCUGAUAAUCUUACGGAGUAUCC